Molecule: small nuclear RNA, 107 nt
Organism: Callithrix jacchus (white-tufted-ear marmoset)
Lineage: Eukaryota; Metazoa; Chordata; Mammalia; Primates; Cebidae
Source: Ensembl
GUGCUUGCUUUGGCAGCACAUGUACUAAAAUUGGAAUGAUGCAGAGAAGACUAGCAUGGCCCAUGUGCAAGGAUGACACACAAAUUAAUGAAGCUUUCCAUGUUUUU